RNAcentral lists this ribosomal RNA (499 nucleotides) under uncultured bacterium. RNAcentral describes it as "partial 16S ribosomal RNA". It matches the Rfam family "Bacterial small subunit ribosomal RNA", at positions 28 to 507 of the family's 1533-position model. The record is from RNAcentral.
GACGAACGCUGGCGGCGUGCUUAACACAUGCAAGUCGAACGGGCCCGCCCCUGUUUUUGGGGGUGGGUUGAGUGGCGAACGGGUGAGUAUCACGUGAGUAACCUGCCCCCUGCUCCUGGAUAACUGCUUGAAAGGGCGGCUAAUACGGGGUGUGCCGGCUGGUCCGCAUGGGCCUGGUCGGGAUAGUUUCAUCUUCGGGUGUUUCGGCGGGGGAUGGGCUCGCGGCCUAUCAGCUUGUUGGUGGGGUGAUGGCCCACCAAGGCGGUGACGGGUAGCCGGCCUGAGAGGGUGGGCGGCCACACUGGGACUGAGACACGGCCCAGACUCCUGCGGGAGGCAGCAGUGGGGGGUAUUGAGCAAUGGGCGGAAGCCUGAUGCAGCGACGUCGCGUGAGGGAUGGAGGCCUUCGGGUUGUGAACCUCUUUCUCCGGUGGUGAAGGCCCUGUCCGUUGCGGCGGGGUUGACGGUAGCCGGGUAUGAAGCGCCGGCUAACUACGUG